Molecule: long non-coding RNA, 648 nt
Organism: Gallus gallus (chicken)
Lineage: Eukaryota; Metazoa; Chordata; Aves; Galliformes; Phasianidae
Source: Ensembl
CGGCACGGUCCGGCGCGGCACGGAGGGAGGUUAUCGGGCGCGGGGGGAGGACUGAGGCUGGCAAGGUGAGAGCUCGGAUUGCCGGAGUGCCGGGAGGAAGCUGCCAUUUGUGAGCUGUGAGUGACGAGCGUAGAUCCUGAUGGUCCUUCACGAUCCCUUCUCAGACCUGGAAGAUGUAGAUGUGACUGCAAGAUAUCAUCAUCGUCAUCGUGGUGGUCACUGUCCUCGUCAACGGAACAACGCCCAACAACCCACCUCUACUGAAGAGCAACGACUGAACUAUGAACCACGCUGGACCCAUGGUGGUGACAAUCUCCCUCUUGCUCCCUCUAGAGACUCCUUGCUCCUAUUUCCUAUCUUUUCUACUGCCCUUCUUUCCUUCCCCAUCACCCUAAUUUGUACGUAUGAAGACUCCUUGCUUCUAUUUUCUAUCUUUUCUAUCGCCUUUCUUCCCUUCCCCAUUGCCCCAGUCCAUAAUAGUGUCUGUCCUCCCCUUUCCCCAUCUCCCUUAUUAACAUUUGUAAUAAACUGGUUGGACCAACAUCUGGACCGUUGUUUCUUAAUCUCAUGCUGGGUAUACAUAUUUCAAAGAACCUUCUCUCCCUCCUAUAAAUUGGAGCAAGUCGACCUUACUUUCAGAUAGUUGCA